Molecule: ribosomal RNA, 250 nt
Filed under: uncultured prokaryote
Description: partial 16S ribosomal RNA
Rfam family: Bacterial small subunit ribosomal RNA
Source: RNAcentral
UACGUAGGGGGCGAGCGUUAUCCGGAAUUAUUGGGCGUAAAGAGUACGUAGGUGGUUACCUAAGCGCAAGGUGAAAGACCGCGGCUUAACUGCGGCGAGCCUUGUGAACUGGGCGACUUGAGUGCAGGAGGGGAAAGUGGAAUUCCUAGUGUAGCGGUGAAAUGCGUAGAUAUUAGGAGGAACACCGGUGGCGAAGGCGACUUUCUGGACUGUAACUGACACUGAGGUACGAAAGCGUGGGGAGCAAACA